Long non-coding RNA from Lepisosteus oculatus (spotted gar), 2228 nucleotides. The record is from Ensembl. NCBI's taxonomy places the organism in Eukaryota, Metazoa, Chordata, Actinopteri, Semionotiformes, Lepisosteidae.
AUGGUGAAAACCUCGUCUCUCGCGAACAAGCAACCAGCCCUAUAUAGUCUACUGUCGUGUGGGGUUUCGAAUGGCGUUCAACAGAGACACUGCCGGAUGAAACUGCUGUGUGUUUUGAAACACUGGGUCCCCCCCAGGCACACACACCACCACCACCACAACCACAACAACAACAACACUGCCGGCGAAACGGCACAGCACAAAACAAAGACUGCGGUCGUGUCUGCAAUGCAAACGCCGCAUUCGGGCCGCAGGGGAGCGGGCAAGCGCGACCGGGCUGCGCCGGGGAUGCGUGGGGCCGCCAACCCUCUCCACCCCACCCCCCAGGAACCUCCGACCCGAACCGGACCCCCAGCAGCCCAGGCCGCCCGGGAUCGAGCAUGUCCGCAGCCCCGGCCGCCCGCGCAGCGCCGCCGGGUUAUGCGCCGUGCAGGUUCCCGGGUUCGCCCGCGCCUCUGCCCGUGGAAAAGAGAGGAGACCUCUUUCCCUUCCCGUGCGGCAGGGCUCUCUCUCACACACACACGCUCCCGUCUGCCCCACUCCACACACACCCACGACAGCAGCGCUUUCCGAAAUCCACCAAAAAAUAACACACACACACAGACACACACAGACACACACAGACACACACAGACACACACAGACGUCAGAACGGGGCAUCUGCCGUUCGGACGUAGGUCUGGGAAACCCACCCGGCUGGCAGCUCUCCUCAUCCGGGAGAAGAGUCCUCUGAAAGAGUGCAGAAUUCCCACAUUUCCCCAGUCGGACCCCUUUUGUUGGGUUUUUUUUGGACCAGACUGCACCGAUCAGGACAACGGGAUGAGGCAGAAACUCAAAAACGUCCCGUAAUACCGAUCCUCAUCGAAAAACCAACCACUUCAGACUCCCUUUAGCCCAGUGUGGCCCUAAACAUGUCUGCCCCGCUGGAGAAAGUUUCGGGAUUCAACAUUCUUUACAAACGCACAAGGGGUCAGGGGUCAAACAGCCACCAGCGUUCACAAGGAUAAAAGACGGACGAUUCCAUUAGGUAAAAUCCCCUUUUCUCAUCACGGCCCAGGUUUGAUCUCCUGGACUCACCCAGGGGUACAAGCACACUAUCGGGGUGCAGCUGCAGCACAUCAGCCCAGAGAGACGGCCAGGCUGGGCUCUGGUUGGACUCUCCCUGCUUUGCGUCCACCUCGCAGACUCACUCGAGGGGUGGGCUAAUCCACCCGUCUUCCAGCGGGGCAGCUGGAGCCUAUCCCAGCAAGCAAGGGGCUCAGGGCAGGGUACGGCCUGGGUGGGACGCCAGUCCAUCACAGGCCCACAACUUGGGCUCAUCGUUUAAGUCAAACAACAACGCUACAUUCAUCCCCAGGUUAGGAAACAUUCGCUUACCAACUUGAAGGUAAUCAUUAGAGGGCUAGCCAGAGGGAAUACUGAGCACUGAUGAACAAAGAGAUCUAAAACUCCCACAGAAGGAGCUAUAGUGAAUGCACCCACGGAGAAUGGGAGUGAACACCAGGGGGCGCUAACAUCCCCAGCACCAAGAGGAGGUAUGCAAGUCACUUCGGAUAAAUAAAAGCGAAGUUACACUGAGCCGAAGCAGUAAUCUGCUCUUUUAUAAAAGUAUACUCACUGAAUCACCUUAUUUCAGAAAGAGAAGUGUAGAAAUAUACACACCUUCAACUGCUGCUCAGUGACUGAAUGGAGCCCACUUCAUGGAGCAGUUUAAUUGUUUCCUGUGGUGGGGCGUUUUGGCCUGGUUUAUAAAAGGUGAAGAACUGACUUGCCGCGCUGUCCCAGAGUGGAUCAUGGGAGUGCACUGGCCACUACAUACCGCAUGCAAGCAUGGCAGCGCUGGAGCAGUCGCAUCACGCCACAGGAGUGCACACAAAGUCCUUGGCGCUGGCGACACAAGCAGGAGAGCCCAACACGCAGUGGUCCGUCCCCGAGUCAAAGAGACCACAGACGCACACGGGACGAUCCUCCAUCAUUUACCUUCGUGUUUCUGGGCCAGAAGCCUGGGAAUCAAACGCCGCCUCUCCUAAGACACCCGCUGCAUUAAAACCUCUGGCGAAAUGCAGAGGGCCCUGCCAGCCAAUGGGAUUUCACAGGGCUUGUGCCCCCGGACAAGUGAACGGGACCAUGUGCCAGAAAGGAACAGGACAGUAGCAUCCCGGGCACCCGUGAUCAACACACACGCACAGGCAAACGCUAGACAGGCGCCCGGAGACGCAGCGUGCAGA